Molecule: small RNA, 541 nt
Filed under: Pan troglodytes (chimpanzee)
Lineage: Eukaryota; Metazoa; Chordata; Mammalia; Primates; Hominidae
Description: processed transcript
Source: RNAcentral
CGCUUGGAGGGGAAGGAGCCGCGGGAGUGAAUAACCCUAUACCUUCCAAUUUGAAAUCAGAAGCAAAAAAGGCUGCCAAAAUAUUAAGAGAAUUCACAGAAAUAACUUCCAGAAAUGGACCUGAUAAGAUCAUUCCUGCUCACGUAAUUGCGAAGGCUAAAGGCCUUGCAAUUCUGUCUGUGAUCAAAGCCGGGUUCCUGGUGACUGCCAGAGGAGGCAGCGGGAUUGUAGUGGCGCGCCUUCCAGAUGGAAAAUGGUCUGCACCCUCAGCCAUUGGGAUAGCUGGCCUUGGUGGAGGAUUUGAAAUAGGAAUUGAGGUAUCAGACUUGGUGAUAAUUCUGAAUUAUGACCGUGCUGUAGAAGCUUUUGCAAAAGGCGGAAAUCUAACCCUCGGAGGGAACUUGACUGUGGCGGUUGGGCCCUUGGGAAGGAACUUGGAAGGAAACGUGGCCCUGAGAAGCUCCGCUGCUGUCUUCACAUACUGCAAGUCGAGGGGACUCUUUGCAGGCGUGUCUUUAGAAGGGAGCUGUUUGAUUGAAAG